Molecule: ribosomal RNA, 229 nt
Filed under: Paenibacillus sp. FSL H7-0326
Lineage: Bacteria; Bacillati; Bacillota; Bacilli; Caryophanales; Paenibacillaceae
Description: partial 23S ribosomal RNA
Rfam family: Bacterial large subunit ribosomal RNA
Source: RNAcentral
ACCGGGAUGGACGUACCGCUGGUGUACCAGUUGUUCCGCCAGGAGCACCGCUGGGUAGCUAUGUACGGACGGGAUAAGCGCUGAAAGCAUCUAAGCGUGAAGCCCCCCUCAAGAUGAGAUUUCCCAAUGAGUAAGACCCCUUGAAGACGACGAGGUAGAUAGGCUGGGGGUGGAAGUGCAGCAAUGCAUGGAGCUGACCAGUACUAAUCGGUCGAGGGCUUAUCCAAAA